RNAcentral lists this ribosomal RNA (465 nucleotides) under uncultured bacterium. Its description in RNAcentral is "partial 16S ribosomal RNA". It matches the Rfam family "Bacterial small subunit ribosomal RNA", at positions 338 to 795 of the family's 1533-position model. The record is from RNAcentral.
CCUACGGGUGGCAGCAGUGGGGAAUAUUGCGCAAUGGGCGAAAGCCUGACGCAGCGACGCCGCGUGAGGGAUGACGGUCUUCGGAUCGUAAACCUCUGUCAGCAGGGAAGAACGGUCACUGUGCUAAUCAGCAGUGAAUUGACGGUACCUGCAAAGGAAGCACCGGCUAACUCCGUGCCAGCAGCCGCGGUAAUACGGAGGGUGCGAGCGUUAAUCGGAGUUACUGGGCGUAAAGCGCUCGUAGGCGGUAUGUCAAGUCAAGGGUGAAAUCCCCGCGCUCAACGUGGGAACUGCAUUUGAAACUGGCAAACUGGAGUGUGUGUGAGGAUAGUGGAAUUCCAGGUGUAGGAGUGAAAUGCGUAGAUAUCUGGAGGAACAUCAGUGGCGAAGGCGACUAUCUGGCACAUAACUGACGCUGAGGAGCGAAAGCGUGGGUAGCAAACAGGAUUAGAUACCCUGGUAGUC